This 72-nucleotide transfer RNA is filed under the name Phrynosoma platyrhinos (Desert horned lizard). RNAcentral's name for it is "tRNA-OTHER". The record is from RNAcentral. Lineage: Eukaryota; Metazoa; Chordata; Lepidosauria; Squamata; Phrynosomatidae.
GCCAGCAUGGCAUAGUGGUUUGCAUGUUGGACUACAACUCUGGAGACCAAGGUUCGAUUCCUUGCUCAGUCA